Molecule: unclassified non-coding RNA, 271 nt
Filed under: Hevea brasiliensis (rubber tree)
Lineage: Eukaryota; Viridiplantae; Streptophyta; Magnoliopsida; Malpighiales; Euphorbiaceae
Source: RNAcentral
CCUGGGCCUCUGCAAACAAUAUUUAACCUUCCUGCAGAUGAGAUUGUUGAACACAGUUAUUCAUGCGCACUUGAGAGAUCUUUCUUGUAUCAUGGGCGCAUGUAUGUAUCAUAUGCUUCCAUUCUAAUGUUUUCUCCAAGCAAAUGAAGGUGAUUAUACCUUUAGGAGAUAUAGAUGAGAUACGUAGGAGUCAGCAUGCAUUCAUUAAUCCUGCCAUAACUAUUGUUCUGCGGAUGGGUGCUGGUGGGCAUGGUGUGCCUCCAUUAGGAAG